CCUACGUGCGGCAGCAGUGAGGAAUAUUGGUCAAUGGGCGCGAGCCUGAACCAGCCAAGUAGCGUGAAGGAUGACUGCCCUACGGGUUGUAAACUUCUUUUAUAAAGGAAUAAAGUGAGGCACGUGUGCCUUUUUGUAUGUACUUUAUGAAUAAGGAUCGGCUAACUCCGUGCCAGCAGCCGCGGUAAUACGGAGGAUCCGAGCGUUAUCCGGAUUUAUUGGGUUUAAAGGGAGCGUAGAUGGGGUGUUCAGUCAGUUGUGAAAGUUUGCGGCUCAACCGUAAAAUUGCAAUUGAUACUGGCAGUCUUGAGUACAGUUAAGGUAGGCGGAAUUCGUGGUGUAGCGGUGAAAUGCUUAGAUAUCACGAAGAACCCCGAUUGCGAAGGCAGCUUACUAAACUGUGACUGACAUUGAUGCUCGAAAGUGUGGGUAUCAAACAGGAUUAGAUACCCGGGUAGUC
RNAcentral lists this ribosomal RNA (460 nucleotides) under uncultured bacterium. RNAcentral describes it as "partial 16S ribosomal RNA". It matches the Rfam family "Bacterial small subunit ribosomal RNA", at positions 338 to 795 of the family's 1533-position model. The record is from RNAcentral.